CUUUUGUGCUUGCACAAAAUGAUUAGUGGCGAACGGGUGAGUAACACGUGAGUAACCUGCCCUUAACUUCGGGAUAAGCCUGGGAAACCGGGUCUAAUACCGGAUACGACCUCCUGACGCAUGUCAUGGGGGUGGAAAGCUUGAUGCGGUUUUGGAUGGACUCGCGGCCUAUCAGCUAGUUGGUUGGGGUAAUGGCCCACCAAGGCGACGACGGGUAGCCGGCCUGAGAGGGUGACCGGCCACACUGGGACUGAGACACGGCCCAGACUCCUACGGGAGGCAGCAGUGGGGAAUAUUGCACAAUGGGCGAAAGCCUGAUGCAGCGACGCCGCGUGAGGGACGAAGGCCUUCGGGUUGUAAACCUCUUUCAGCAGGGAAGAAGCGAAAGUGACGGUACCUGCAGAAGAAGCGCCGGCU
Molecule: ribosomal RNA, 417 nt
Filed under: unidentified bacterium TMB814
Lineage: Bacteria
Description: bacterial SSU rRNA
Rfam family: Bacterial small subunit ribosomal RNA
Source: RNAcentral